Molecule: ribosomal RNA, 1018 nt
Filed under: uncultured bacterium
Lineage: Bacteria
Description: bacterial SSU rRNA
Rfam family: Bacterial small subunit ribosomal RNA
Source: RNAcentral
AGUGAGGAAUAUUGGGCAAUGGACGCAAGUCUGACCCAGCCAUGCCGCGUGCAGGAAUGACGGCCCUAUGGGUUGUAAACUGCUUUUAUAUAGGAAGAAACCCUCCGACGCGUUGGAGGCUGACGGUACUAUAUGAAUAAGCAUCGGCUAACUCCGUGCCAGCAGCCGCGGUAAUACGGAGGAUGCAAGCGUUAUCCGGAUUUAUUGGGUUUAAAGGGUGCGCAGGCGGGCCUAUAAGUCAGUGGUGAAAUCUCUCGGCUCAACCGAGAAACUGCCAUUGAUACUGUAGGUCUAGAGUACAGAUGGGGUAGGCGGAAUGUAGCAUGUAGCGGUGAAAUGCAUAGAUAUGCUACAGAACACCAAUCGCGAAGGCAGCUUACCAAACUGUUACUGACGCUCAGGCACGAAAGCGUGGGGAGCGAACAGGAUUAGAUACCCUGGUAGUCCACGCCGUAAACGAUGAUUACUAGUUGUUGGCGAUAAACAGUCAGUGACUAAGCGAAAGUGAUAAGUAAUCCACCUGGGGAGUACGAUCGCAAGGUUGAAACUCAAAGGAAUUGACGGGGGCCCGCACAAGCGGAGGAGCAUGUGGUUUAAUUCGAUGAUACGCGAGGAACCUUACCCGGGCUUAAAUGUAGGUUGCAUGAGAUGGAAACAUUUCUUUCCUUCGGGACUACUUACAAGGUGCUGCAUGGUUGUCGUCAGCUCGUGCCGUGAGGUGUCGGGUUAAGUCCCAUAACGAGCGCAACCCUCAUUCUUAGUUGCCAGCGGAUAAUGCCGGGGACUCUAAGGAAACUGCCGGCGCAAGCCGAGAGGAAGGUGAGGAUGACGUCAAAUCAGCACGGCCCUUACGUCCGGGGCUACACACGUGCUACAAUGGCCGGUACAAAGGGCAGCUACCCCGUGAGGGGAUGCAAAUCUCAAAAGCCGGUCUCAGUUCGGAUCGGAGUCUGCAACUCGACUCCGUGAAGUUGGAUUCGCUAGUAAUCGUAUAUCAGCAAUGAUACGGUGAAUACGU